RNAcentral lists this unclassified non-coding RNA (1713 nucleotides) under Hevea brasiliensis (rubber tree). The record is from RNAcentral. Lineage: Eukaryota; Viridiplantae; Streptophyta; Magnoliopsida; Malpighiales; Euphorbiaceae.
GUUUCUCUGAUGACAAGAAAAAGCACUACCAUGUAUUAUUCUUCUCUCAUCUUUAAUCUCUUCCUCCUUGGUCUCUUUUUUAGCCUGCUCGUAUCUAGCCGGGAUUCUCACAAGGAUGGUGAAAAGAUUUAUAUUGUGUAUAUGGGAAGAAAGCUAGAUGACCCUGAUUCUGCUCGUUUGCAUCAUAGGGCAAUGUUGGAAGAAGUCGUUGGCAGCACUUUCGAACCAGAAUCUGUGGUAUACACUUACAAGAGAAGUUUCAAUGGAUUUGCGGUGAAACUAACAGAAGAAGAAGCUCAAAACAUUGCUGCUAAGGAGGGUGUUGUGUCUGUGUUCCCAAGCAAAACGAAACAUAUUAAAACGACAAGAUCAUGGGAUUUUCUAGGUUUUCCACAAAAUGUUCCACGUGUAAAACAAGUGGAAAGCAACAUAGUUGUUGGAGUUUUCGACAGCGGAAUCUGGCCUGAGUCUCCCAGUUUCAACGAUGAAGGGUUUGGUCCUGCGCCACCCAACUGGAAGGGAACUUGCCAAGCCUCCAUAAACUUCAGUUGCAACAGAAAAAUUAUCGGAGCUCGAGCAUAUCUCAUCGAUUCCCCAGUUCCACCUGGUGAUGUUAAUAGUCCAAGAGAUAUAGACGGACAUGGGACGCACACUGCGUCGACGGUGGCUGGCGGUCUCGUGAGCCAGGCAAGUUUGUACGGUCUCGGGCUUGGUACGGCAAGAGGAGGGGUUCCCUCUGCGCGUAUUGCUGUGUACAAAAUUUGUUGGAAGGCAGUUGGUUGCUCUGACGCCAACAUUCUUGCAGCAUUUGACGAUGCAGUCGCCGAUGGGGUGGAUAUCAUAUCUCUUUCAGUUGGUGGGGAGGAAGCAGAAGUUUACUUCAGGGAUCCCAUCGCCAUUGGAGCUUUCCAUGCCAGCAAAAAUGGAAUAUUGACCUCCAAUUCUGCCGGAAAUGAAGGUCCUAAGUACUUCACCACUCCAAGCGUGUCUCCAUGGCUUCUUUCUGUUGCUGCAAGCAGCAUGGACAGAAAGUUUGUCACACAAGUUCAGCUUGGCAAUGGAAAUAUAUAUCAAGGAAUAUCAAUCAACACAUUUUCUAUGGAUUAUAAAUAUCCCUUGGUUUAUGCUGGUGAUGUACCCAACAUAGGUUUUCAUCGUUCCAUCUCCCGAUAUUGCGGGAAUAACUCGGUGAAUCCUGAGUUGGUGAGGGGUAAAAUCCUUCUUUGUGAUGAUGUAAUGUCUUCUAGUGUAAUCUCUACCUUCGGAAGUGUUGCCGGCGUCCUAAUGCAAGCAUAUUCGAACGACAGUGCAAGGUCUUUUAUCCUGCCCGCUACUGUCCUACACCCACAAGAUGGCACUCACAUUUACCCCUACAUUCGUUCAACAAGGACUCCAACUGCAACCAUUUUCAAGAGUAUCGUUGCACGAGAUACAUAUGCUCCUGUCGUAGUUUCCUUCUCAUCCAAGGGACCUAAUGCUAUAACCAACGACAUUCUCAAGCCAGAUUUGACUGGACCAGGAGUUGAAAUUUUAGCAGCAUGGCCUCCCGUUGCACCUAUUGCCGGAGUUCGAGAUUCCAGGAGUACGCAUUAUAAUAUAAUCUCAGGAACAUCAAUGUCUUGCCCACAUAUCAGCGGAGUUGCAGUGUAUGUCAAAACAUUUAACCCAAGUUGGUCUCCUGCUGCUAUAAAAUCAGCACUCAUGACAACAGCU